CAGCCGCCACGGUAAUACGGAGGAUCCGAGCGUUAUCCGGAAUUAUUGGGUUUAAAGGGUGCGUAGGCGGAUAGAUAAGUCAGGGGUGAAAGACGGUGGCUCAACCAUCGCAGUGCCUUUGAUACUGGUGUGCUUGAAUGUACAUGAGGUAGGCGGAAUGAGACAAGUAGCGGUGAAAUGCAUAGAUAUGUCUCAGAACACCAAUUGCGAAGGCAGCUUACUAAGGUAUGAUUGACGCUGAUGCACGAAAGCGUGGGGAUCAAACAGGAUUAGAUACCCCCGUAGUCCCUGUCUCUUAUAC
RNAcentral lists this ribosomal RNA (301 nucleotides) under uncultured bacterium. Its description in RNAcentral is "partial 16S ribosomal RNA". It matches the Rfam family "Bacterial small subunit ribosomal RNA", at positions 509 to 807 of the family's 1533-position model. The record is from RNAcentral.